This 253-nucleotide ribosomal RNA is filed under the name uncultured bacterium. Its description in RNAcentral is "partial 16S ribosomal RNA". It matches the Rfam family "Bacterial small subunit ribosomal RNA", at positions 524 to 776 of the family's 1533-position model. The record is from RNAcentral.
UACAGAGGGUGCAAGCGUUAAUCGGAGUUACUGGGCGUAAAGGGCGCGUAGGCGGUCUUUUAAGUUGGAUGUGAAAUCCCUGGGCUUAACCUAGGAACUGCAUCCAAGACUGGGAGACUGGAGUACUGUAGAGGGUGGUGGAAUUUCCGGUGUAGCGGUGAAAUGCGUAGAGAUCGGAAGGAACACCAGUGGCGAAGGCGGCCACCUGGACAGAUACUGACGCUGAGGCGCGAGAGCGUGGGGAGCAAACAGG